UAGGGAAUCUUCGGCAAUGGGGGCAACCCUGACCGAGCAACGCCGCGUGAGUGAAGAAGGUUUUCGGAUCGUAAAGCUCUGUUGUAAGAGAAGCACGUGUGUGAGAGUGGAAAGUUCACACAGUGACGGUAACUUACCAGAAAGGGACGGCUAACUACGUGCCAGCAGCCGCGGUAAUACGUAGGUACCGAGCGUUGUCCGGAUUUAUUGGGCGUAAAGCGAGCGCAGGCGGUUUAAUAAGUCUGAAGUUAAAGGCAGUGGCUUAACCAUUAUGUGCAUUGGAAACUGUUAAACUUGAGUGCAGAAGGGGAGAGUGGAAUUCGAUGUGUAGCGGUGAAAUGCGUAGAUAUAUGGAGGAACACCGGUGGCGAAAGCGGCUCUCUGGUCUGUAACUGACGCUGAGGCUCGAAAGCGAGGGGAGCAAACAGG
RNAcentral lists this ribosomal RNA (429 nucleotides) under bacterium. Its description in RNAcentral is "partial 16S ribosomal RNA". It matches the Rfam family "Bacterial small subunit ribosomal RNA", at positions 355 to 776 of the family's 1533-position model. The record is from RNAcentral.